AAAUACAAAUACUGUAAGUCACUCUGGAUAAGAGUGUCUGCUAAAUGACUAAAA
Molecule: non-coding RNA, 54 nt
Organism: Salmo salar (Atlantic salmon)
Lineage: Eukaryota; Metazoa; Chordata; Actinopteri; Salmoniformes; Salmonidae
Source: Rfam